CCUACGGGCGGUAGCAGUGAGGAAUAUUGGUCAAUGGGCGUAAGCCUGAACCAGCCAAGUCGCGUGAGGGAUGAAGGUUCUAUGGAUCGUAAACCUCUUUUAUAAGGGAAUAAAGUGUGGGACGUGUCCUGUUUUGUAUGUACCUUAUGAAUAAGGAUCGGCUAACUCCGUGCCAGCAGCCGCGGUAAUACGGAGGAUCCGAGCGUUAUCCGGAUUUAUUGGGUUUAAAGGGUGCGUGGGGGGCCUUUAAGUCAGCGGUGAAAGUCUGUGGCUCAACCACAGAAUUGCCGUUGAAACUGGGAGGCUUGAGGAUGUUUGAGGCAGGCGGAAUGCGUGGUGUAGCGGUGAAAUGCUUAGAGAUCACGCAGAACCCCGAUUGCGAAGGCAGCCUGCCAAGCCAUGACUGACGCUGAUGCACGAAAGCGUGGGGAUCAAACAGGAUUAGAUACCCUUGUAGUC
RNAcentral lists this ribosomal RNA (459 nucleotides) under uncultured bacterium. RNAcentral's name for it is "partial 16S ribosomal RNA". It matches the Rfam family "Bacterial small subunit ribosomal RNA", at positions 338 to 795 of the family's 1533-position model. The record is from RNAcentral.